GGGUAUAUAGCUCAGUGGUAGAGUGCGUGCGUAGCAUGCAUGAGGUCCUGGGUUCAAACCCCAGUACCUCCA
Molecule: transfer RNA, 72 nt
Filed under: Camelus bactrianus (Bactrian camel)
Lineage: Eukaryota; Metazoa; Chordata; Mammalia; Artiodactyla; Camelidae
Also listed under: 1 other name
Rfam family: tRNA
About the family: Transfer RNA (tRNA) molecules are approximately 80 nucleotides in length. Their secondary structure includes four short double-helical elements and three loops (D, anti-codon, and T loops).
Source: Rfam by way of RNAcentral